Molecule: ribosomal RNA, 428 nt
Filed under: uncultured bacterium
Lineage: Bacteria
Description: bacterial SSU rRNA
Rfam family: Bacterial small subunit ribosomal RNA
Source: RNAcentral
GACGAACGCUGGCGGCGUGCCUAAUACAUGCAAGUCGAACGGUCUUUUCUAUGAAAGCUUGCUUUCACUGAGAAGAUAGUGGCGGACGGGUGAGUAACACGUGGGUAACCUGCCCAUAAGAGGGGGAUAACAUCCGGAAACGGGUGCUAAUACCGCAUAGUUUUUUUGGUCACAUGACUGAGAAAGGAAAGACGGCCUUUGUGCUGUCGCUUAUGGAUGGACCCGCGGCGUAUUAGUUAGUUGGUGAGGUAAUGGCUCACCAAGACGAUGAUACGUAGCCGACCUGAGAGGGUGAUCGGCCACAUUGGGACUGAGACACGGCCCAAACUCCUACGGGAGGCAGCAGUAGGGAAUCUUCCGCAAUGGACGAAAGUCUGACGGAGCAACGCCGCGUGAGUGAAGAAGGUUUUCGGAUCGUAAAACUCUGU